Molecule: long non-coding RNA, 21854 nt
Filed under: Triticum aestivum (bread wheat)
Lineage: Eukaryota; Viridiplantae; Streptophyta; Magnoliopsida; Poales; Poaceae
Description: long non-coding RNA (TAES_LNC011982)
Source: RNAcentral
ACACACACACACACACACACACACACACACACACACACACAAACACACAUACACACACUGUUGUUUAGUUUCAGACUUGUGCCUGUGUGAAAAUUAGUUGAAUCUAUUCCCUAUAUACUGUGGUUGCUGUAGAAACCUGUUCAGUUUGUAGUAUCUUUGAUUUAUAUAUAGUGUUGUUGUGUUAAAUAGUUUUCUCCAUGUCCCAUUAUCUUAGUCUUGUCUUUUUCUUAUAUGUUAUAUAUAUGUGAUCUUACCCUGUUAUUUCCCUUUCGCUGUUGUUGAUCUUCUGUGUUAGAAUCUUAUAUUCUCAAGAAUUGUGAAAAUAUCAAAAAGACAGUGAACAAUAUCUUAACCUUUCCUAUACUUGUUUGUUUCUUCAUUCUCUAUAAUCUUCGGGAACAACUUUGUUUAGUUUAGGUUUAUAUUUCCUUGCAAUCAUCAUCUAAAUUCUGUCACCUAGCUUUAGCCGAGCGUAGUUGUCGUCGCCUAGUCCCUGUGGAGAACACGACAUCCGUAGUUUGGGCGUAAAACCCCCACUAUAAUACAAUUGAUCAUUUUGGCGACGUUGCCGGGGAACUAGCGUCGUGCGGCCGUGUUAGGCUAUAGACUAGGUUUUUCUUGUUUUCAUUUUGUGACAUAUAUUUGUGAUAUAUCUCUAGCCACUAACCCCUGUUCUAGUUAGUAUCUUUUUGUCUUCUUUUCCUUUUUUGCAGGUUGGAUUAUCCUCUUGGAAAUGGCAUUCUAUUCAGAUCAUCAGGCUUAUGCGAGGAACACUACAAACAGCACGGAAAGUAUUCAAGAAUUGAUAAGUAAGAUUUCCCAUCAAUUAGAUGAUUUAGCUCGGCAGCGAGAAGUAGUUUUUGGGGAUAGGAUGUUAUGUGGGGCCGUCACUAUGAAAAGAGAAAGAAGGACUCGGCAACAACAGAGUCCAGAUAGAUUACAUCAAAGUUUGUUUGGAAACCUAAGUUUGUUAGGAGAGUCGGUUUGGUCUACAAUAUGAGAUAUUGAGUUUGUUAGGGACUAGCUAGUAGCUUGAAUAAGGGGCAAACGCCAUCAGUUUAUAUAUAUAUAUAUAUAUAUAUAUAUACACACACACACACACACACACAUGUAUUGGAGGAAUCAAGCAAUAUAUCAAUCUAUUUCCUAUCUCCCUCAGUCAAGCGUGGAGCAGGCCAGGCCAAGACCUUGCCCCUCCAUCGUCCUUACCUCGUCAUUACCUUGGCUAACGCCGGCCAUAACAUCUGGUAUCAGACGUCCAGGUGUUCCAGUACCCAUGGUGGACGACAACGCCAAGUCUGACUCUAGUGGCUCCAAGGAUGAUCAAGAAACCAAGGCCCUCGUGAUCGAGAUCCUGCAGAAGUUUGAGCGCCUUGAGGCCUUGGAGGAGCGUUUGGGUCGCAUCGAGACCGGCCAAAAGCAGAUGAUUCUCCACACGCAAGCACCCGAGAUCCUCCAACAACGCAAAGACGGACCGAUGGGGAACACCCGCUUCCACAAGUUGGAUUUUCCAUCGUUCGACGACACGACAGAUCCUCUGCCCUUCCUCAACAGAUGUGAGCACUACUUCCGUGGACAGCGCACCAUGGAUGAGGAGCAUGUAUGGCUCGCUGCCUUGCACCUUCACGGCACCGCGCAACAGUGGUAUAUGCGCCUUGAGCGCGAUGAGGGCACGCCAUCUUGGCGACGCUUCUCUGAACACUGGACCUCCGGUUUGGACCACCGUUGCGUUCCUAUCCCUUGGGCGAGCUAGCGGCCUGCCGGUGCACCGGUUCUGUGGCAGAUUACCAAGAGCGCUUCCUUGCACUGCUCACCCGUGCAGGCCCACUGAACGAGAGUCAGCAGGUCCAAUUCUUCACGGCUGGCUUGCAAGAACCCCUCUCCAUCGAUGUCCAGCUUCAGGGACCGCAAUCCCUGGAGAUCGCUAUGAGUUUGGCACGCUCCUUUGAGCAUCGGGAACAGGCCGUUGCCACAACGGCCGCUUCAUCCGCGCCACCUUCCCGGUCCUAUCAUGCUCCGGCUCAGCGUGGCCUCCUACCCCCUCCUGCGGCAGGCACUCCUCCAACACCACCAACUCAGGCGUUGGCCGGCCAGCCAAAUCCACCUGGUCUCGUCACAUUAGCUGGGCGCACGGUUUGCCGUUUGACACCCGAGGAAAUUGACGAGCGCCGCCGCACUGGGCAGUGCUUUAACUGUGAUGACAAGUAUGUACGGGGGCACAAUCGUGUCUGUAAGCGUCUGUUCCACCUGGAGAUAGCAGAGGCGGAUGAUGGCAUGGACACCGAAGAUGGGAUGGACGACCCCAAGAUCUCAAUGCAAUUGCCGGUGUUGCGUCCUCCGAGACGAUGCAGGUUCUGAUCCGCCUUGGCGGAGCCUCUCUGCGCGCAUUAUUGCACACGGGCUCCACCCACAAUUUCGUGUCCACCGCAGCAGCAGAGCGCGUCCAGCUGCCAUUCCAACCAAAGGAGGGCUUGCAUGUUAUGGUGGCUAAUGGCGACUGGGUUCCCUGCUCUGGUGUGUUUCGCCGUGCACCGUUUUCCAUCACUACUGAGGCUUUUGAAGCUGAUUUCUACGCACUACCUCUCGAUGGAUAUGAUGUGGUACUUGGCACCGACUGGCUCACAACAUUGGGGCCGGUCCUCUGGGACUUCAGCCGCCUGUCCAUGACAUUCUGGCACGGGAGCUCUAGUGUUACUUGGCGCGGCAUCGCUGGUGUCAGGACCCCGACUCGAUGUCACAUCGAUCUAGCCGGUAACACUUCAUAUCACUUUGCGGCCUCACGCACGGUGUUCCCACGGGUGUCGCCUUACCUUUGCCCGGGACCGUUUGCGCCUUUUGGCUCACGUAUAUGAUAGUGUCGCUAGCAUCCAUAUGAUAAAGAGCCCGGGCUGACAUGACUAGUCGUAAACCCAAAGUGGCACAGACUUACAGGGACAGGCAUCCAUGACCCAGCUUCGAACGUGUCGGUCAACAGCAAGUGGGUCCGGGCUGUAGCACUGGGCUAGCAGGACUCCGGUAAACCGGGCUGUAGCGGGCUAACAGGACUCCGGUACUCAAAGCAUGACAUUUCCCCGAAGGGACAGACACAGGAACGAAGAAGGACACAUGCCGGCCAGCCUAAGUGUUCCAGAGCAGUAGCAAGCUACCAUGGCUCAGCGGUAACACUAGGAGACAUUUCCCGGUAAGAGAGGCUACUAAAGAUAAACAACUAGAUAGUCAGAUCCCACACAUACCAAGCAUUUCAAUCAUACACACAAUAUGCUCGAUAUGUGCAAAUACAACGAAGCAUCACAACAUGACUCUACGACACAAGUACUUUAUUUAAGGCUCAGGGAGCCAUACAUAACAUACACCAAGGUACGGGUCUCACGACCCAACAUACAAGUCAUACAGUCAUACAAACCAGCAGCGGAAGUAACUUGUCUGAGUACAGACAACUAGUAAAAUAAAAGAGGCUUGGAAAGCCUAGCUAUACUACGUGGUCCUUCACAAGCUCAGGGUCACCACCUGGGUCUUUAGCCUACUCGUUGAUGUCAACAUCUACAUAGAACCCAUCAGAAGGGGUUGCAGCGUCUUCUGUAAAAUGUAGAUUAUAGCAACAUGAGUAGAAAGGUACUCAGCAAGACUUACAUCAGAUCCUACAUACAUGCAUGUUAUCAAGAAGGGUUGGUGGAGUUAUUGCAGCAAGCCAGCUUUGACUCUUGGCUAGGCUAUCCUACGAUACUCCAACUUGAAAUGGUUUUGCGCACACGAGUCCACUACUCACCAAUUCAAUACACUUCCGAGGAUCCACCUCCGUCUUCCUACGGAAGAGCCAUCCUCGGCACUCACACUUAUCUUGAGGCUUUUAGCAGUUUCCAUUUACUUGUCUAUGAACUGUAUAGGCAACCAAGUAGUCCUUUACCACGGACGCGGCUAUUCGAAUAGAUUAUGAUAACCCUGCAGGGGUGUACUUCUUCAUACAUGUUUCCACCACUUAGCGUCUACACACGACAUGUGCUCGGCAGACUUCAAGCGAAAGCCGACGUGGGUGUAGACCACGACCUACCUAAACACUUAAGCCUCUAGUACAGGUUUAUCGCCUAUUCAGGUUCCAUCCGCAGGGAGUCCGGCCGAGGUUUCCCAUACGGCCCCGAACGAUGUGAACAGGGUUCCCGGGAUACCUAACGGGUAUUCGGUACACCGUGCCACGUACCUACCGCAUCACAGCCCACCCCUACGGUCAGCGCUGUCCACGGUCUCCAGUAGGCUACAAACACCAGAAACUACUUGCAACUCCUGGACAGAGAGCUAGGGUGAAUAAGAAGUCGAGCGGGGUCAUAUUUCAGGGCCCAAUGCAUGGUAGUAGCUGUAUCUUAAAUCACACAUACAGAUCUCAGUGCUUAAGAUCGGCUUCAAUGAAACAACCCACCAUGUACUCCUACAUGGCCUCUCAUCGAUACCUUUACCAAAUCGUGUUCACCACACCACUCUCAUUUUCGACAUAAUCAUUUCACUCUAGCCAUCACCCAGAUGAACCAGACCUGACACAACUCUAAGCAUAGCAGGCAUAGCAAGGUAGGAACAACACAUACAUAUGGCUCAAUCAACUCCUACACAUGCUAGUGGGUUUCAUCUAGUUACUGUGGCAAUGACAGGUCAUGCAGAGGAAAUGGGUUCAACUACCGUAGCACACAGCAGUUUGAAACGCGUUGUCUUAAUGCAGUAAAAGAGAGCAGGAGCGAGAACAUGGGAUUGUAUCGAUAUGAUCAAAUGGUUGGUUGCUUGCCUGAUGGUUCGAUGCACUGAUACGGUUCUUCGUUAGGGUAAACACGGUACUCCUCGGAGGCAGAACCUGUCGCAAAGGACACCGAUACACAACCAUCACCAAACAAUGUGCAACAAUAUGAUGCAUGCAUGAAACAUGGCAAUAUGAGUGUGUUGGGCUAAUGCAACUAAAACCAGAAGGGUUUGAACAAAUUUGAAUCAAGGAUUCAAAUUUCAAAUUCAAAUAUGGCCUUUUAAAGUGCUUUUCCUUGUUCUGCUUAAAACAUCAAUUUAACUUGUUUGAUCAUGCAUGAAAAUAGUAGAGAUGGAUAGAUUGGAUUUUUCUGAUCAUUUUUCAUAUAUAAUUUGUCCAAUUUGGAGUUACAGAAUAAAAGUUAUGAAUUUUUGAAGUUUAAAUAAUAUUCUGGAAUUUCCUGAUUUAAAUUAAAUCCAGAAAUUAUAAUUAUUGCGCCAGCAUGACGUCAGCAUGACGUCAGUGGUCAACUGUGGCUGGCUGAGGUCAAACCUGACGUGUGGGGCCCACACGUCAGUGACAGGGGGUUAAAUAGGGUUAGUUUAAUCCUAAUUAGGGGUUAGUGGCGCUGGGGCCCACUGGUCAGUGUCAGGGGUUAACUAACAGUGGUUAGCGCUAAUGAUGUCCACCUGGCCGACGGGGCCCACGCGUCAGUGACCCUGGGGGGGUCAAACCCCAGGUCGGACAAGUCAAACCCCACCGGCGACAUGACGCCGGCGAGGUCCGAGACGGCGGCGUGAUGCGGGAUCGCGCUACAGGGCACGGGCGAGGCUGUGCUUGGGCUCGUUGGAGAGCCCUUGCUCCCGCGCGUCGAACGGUGGUGGUGGCCGAGCCUGGGGUGGCCGGUACCGUCGACGGCGAGCUCGUGAGCGGCGGCCGGAGUUCGGGUGCGGUCGGAGUCGGCGUUGCAGGGUGUUUGGGGAGGCGUUGGUGCGUGCUGCGUGCUCCUAGUGAGGCGUGGAGCACGAUAGUGUGCUCGGUUGGGCGCUACGGUGACCGUGGCCACGACGGCGACAUCGCCGGCGGCGUGGAGCUCUCGGCCAAGGUGGGGCUAAGGCCUAGAGGUCGAAAGAGACCAGGGGAGAAGGGGGAAACGACUCGGGGGCUCACCGCGGUUGCAGUGGGCGUCGAAGCGGGCUCGGAGACGCGCUGGAGACGGCGAAUUCGACGGCGAUGAUGGUCGGAGCCCGAAGGGGGGAACGGCGACGUGGCGGCGAUGCAGGGCUUCUGGAGGCCCGUGGAGCGGUGGGGAGGAAGAGGGGGUUGUGGCGGAGCUUCUGAGCUAGUCGGGGGAGCGAGGGGUGGCCGGAGACGGCUGCUAUGGCGAACGGCGGCGACGGUGAUGUUCGGCCGUGUGAGAGAGAGAGCGAGGGAGAGGAGGGAAGAGCCGAGGGCGAGUGAGAGAGAGCAGGGGGGGAGGCGUGGCGUCGUCCGGGGCAUCGAGCGAGGAGGGGAGGGCAGGCAAGCAGGGAGAGAGGUGGCGUGGCGCGGUGGCGCGCGCGCGCGCCGGCCACACUCCCCUCCCUCUGUUGAGGACGAAGACGACAGAGGAGGGAGGUGGGCUGGGCCGGCUGCUGGCUGGGCCGGCCAGCUGGCUGGGCUGCACAGGGAGGAGCCCAGGUAAGCUUCUCCCUUUUAUUUUUUUCUGUUUUCUAAUUUGUGACAUUCGUUUUGAUUUAAAUAAUAUAUUAAAUCAUUUAUUUAACUUAUGCCAAUUUUUGCAGGGGCUAGAUAUAUUAUUUCAGAGCUCCUUUAUAAAUGGCAUAAUAUUUGGACAUAUAUUAAUAUAUAUAAUUAAUAUUUUUCCAAAGCAAAUAUUUAUGCAUUAAUUCCAAAUGCCCAAAAUAAAUACCUAUGAGCUCUUAAAAAUAUUGGUUUGAUUAUUAUCUCUGUCCAAUAUUUUCAGAGAGCAACAUGAGCAUUUUCUUGGACCCUUUUGGAGAAAUUUUUAUUUGGGUCAUUUUCAAAAUGAUUCUGAGGGUUUCACAAAUCCCCAUUUCAAUUUAAAUGGAAUUUUAAACAUGAUGCACACACUCUGAUGCAUGACUAGCUAGGGUGUGACAACUCACCCCCACUCAAAAGAAUCUCGUCCCAAGAUUUGGGUUCCUCCGGGAAGAAGGCGGGGUACUCGAGUCGAAGACGAUCCUCCCUUUCCCAAGUUGCUUCAUCCUCAGAAUGGUGCGACCAUUGUACUUUGAGGAACUUGAUGUUCUGACGUCGGGUGAUACGUUCGGCCUGAUCGAGGAUACGAACGGGGUACUCUCGAUAUGUAAGAUUAUCUUGGAGAUCAAGCGUUUCGUGGUCCACUUCACGGAUAGGAUCCGAGAAGCAACGCCUGUGUUGAGAAACGUGGAAGACAUCGUGGACUCUGGAGAGAUGCGGAGGUAGUUCCAACUGGUAGGCAACUUCUCCUCGUUUGGCGAGAAUGCGGAAAGGUCCAAUGUAACGAGGAGCCAAUUUGCCUUUGAUACCGAAACGAUGGGUUCCCUUCAGAGGGGUGACCCGAAGAUAAGCCUUCUCGUCAACCUCGAAAGUCAUAGCCUUAUGUUUUCGGUCAUAUUGACUCUUUUGACGAGAUUGGGCUGUUUUCAACUUUUCACGAACGAUGCGAACUUGUUCUUCUGCUUCCUGAAUCAUGUCCGGGCCAAAGAAUUGUCUUUCCCCGGUCUCUGACCAGUUAAGGGGUGUUCGACACCGUCGUCCAUAGAGAACUUCAAAAGGGGCUUUACCCAAGCUAGAUUGAUAGCUGUUGUUGUAAGCGAAUUCGGCAAAGGGAAGACACUUCUCCCAAUCCAUUCCGAAUGAGAUAACAGAGGCUCGAAGCAUGUCUUCUAGAAUCUGGUUGACGCGUUCCACUUGACCACUCGACUGAGGGUGGAAGGCGGUGCUAAAGAAGAGACGGGUUCCCAUAGCAUUUUGGAAACUUUCCCAAAAUCGAGAGGUGAAAAGACUUCCUCGAUCCAAGUUAAUUUCCAAAGGAACACCAUGGAGGGACACUAUUCGGGAGAUGUAUAAGUCUGCCAGCUGACUAGCAGUUAUACUCUCACGAACAGGUAAGAAAUGGGCUACUUUGGAAAGACGAUCGACCACGACGAAAAUAGCAUUAUUCCCUCUCUUGGUCUUGGGAAAACCGGUAAUGAAAUCCAUACCAAUUUUAUCCCAUUUCCAUUCAGGAAUAGCUAAGGGUUGAAGGGUGCCAGCAGGCCGUUGAUGCUCUGCUUUUACACGACGACAAACAUCGCAAUUUGCAAUAUACUGAGCAAUCUCUCUCUUCAUCCUAGUCCACCAGAAUCUUUGGCGUAGGUCCUGAUACAUCUUAGUACUACCGGGAUGAAUGGUGAGAGGAGAUUCAUGAGCCUCCUUAAGGAUCAACUGCCGUAGAUGCUGAUUCUUGGGAACCACUAGGCGGUUCUCAAAGUACACAACACCAUGAUCAUUUGUGGAGAAAUAACUAGCACCUCCGCUAGCAAUGUUCUCUUUGAUUUUAGAUAUUCCCUUAUCUCGCUUUUGGGCAGCAAUGAUUUGAUCCGUAAGAGUAGGUUUUGCUACCAAAGUGGAAAGAAAUCCUUGAGGAACAAUGUGAAGGUUAAGCUUACGAAAUUCCUCAUGGAGAAUCGGUUGACUUUGUUGUAACAUUAGAUUGUUACAAUAAGAUUUACGACUUAGCACAUCAGCCAUGACGUUGGCUUUCCCUGGGGUGUAGGUUAUCCCUAAAUCGAAGUCUGUGAUCAACUCAACCCAACGUCUUUGCCUGAGGUUCAGAUCCGGUUGGGUGAAAAUGUACUUCAGACUUUGGUGAUCAGUGAAUAUUUCGCAACGAUUACCGAGGAGGUAAUGUCGCCAAGUCUUAAGUGCAUAGACUACGGCUGCAAGCUCUAGAUCAUGAGUAGGAUAAUUCUCCUCAUAUGGGUGCAAUUGCCGUGAAGCGUAAGCAAUUACGUGUCGAUCUUGCAUGAGAAUGCAACCUAGUCCUUGUUGCGAGGCGUCGCAGUAGAUAACAAAGUCCUUGGAGAAGUCUGGCGGUACCAGUACGGGAGCAGAGGUCAGGCGUCUUUUCAGUUCCUGAAAGCUGUGCUCACAUUGUGGAGUCCAUUCGAACUUCUUAUCUUUCUUGAGGAGUUCGGUUAGAGGUUUGGCAACCUUGGAGAAGUUCUCGACAAAGCGACGACAAUAGCUCGCUAAGCCUAGAAAACUCCGAACUUGCUUGACCGAUUCAGGUGGAGUCCAAUUAAGGACGGCUUGAACUCGCUCAGGGUUAACAGCAAUACCUUUACCAGAUAUUACAUGACCUAGAUAGGUCACUUCUGGCAACCAAAAUUCACAUUUAGAAAAUUUGGCAUAAAGGCGAUGCUCUCGAAGUUUCUUCAACACUAGCCUUAGAUGUUCGGCAUGUUCUUCCUCGUUCUUGGAGUAGAUGAGUAUAUCAUCGAGAUAAACUACGACGAAUUUAUCCAAAUACUCCAUGAAGAUUGAGUUCAUUAACCGAGAAAAGGUGGCUGGAGCGUUGGUUAAACCGAAGGACAUGACGGUGUACUCGUAUUGGCCAUAACGAGUAAUAAAGGCCGUUUUAGGAAUGUCCCCAUUUCUGAUUUUGAUUUGAUGGUAGCCCAACCUCAAAUCCAUCUUGGAGAAGACUGAGGAUCCAGCGAGCUGAUCGUACAGGUCGUUGAUCCUGGGAAGCGGAUAUUUGUUCUUGAUUGUGACCAAAUUGACAGGUCGGUAAUCUACAACCAUCCGGUCCGUACCAUCCUUCUUCUUGACGAAGAGAACGGGGCAAGCCCACGGAGAUGAACUAGGUCGGAUGAAACCCUUUUUCAAGGACUCAUCGAGUUGUUUCUUAAGCUCGGCUAGUUCUAGGGGUGCCAUCUUAUAAGGUCUUCUAGCAAUCGGAACGGUUCCUGGAAUGAGGUCUAUUACGAACUCAACAUCCCUGUCAGGUGGAACACCUGGCAAUUCCUCUGGAAAGACAUCCGGGAAGUCACAGACUACCGGCACGUCCUCAAGGUCUGGCAAAGGGCUGGCGUUAAGAGAAUAUAAUUGUCGCUUGGCUAUUCGGGUCAAGACAUUGACUAUCUUCCCCGAAGGAUGGGUGAGUUGAACAGUCCUAGAGAAGCAAUCAAUUUUGGCUUGAUGAGCUGACAUCCAGUCCAUACCCAAAAUGAUAUUAAUAUCUGAAGAUUUAAGGGCUAUCAAAGAUGCGAGAAAGACAAGUCUGUCGACUUGGAUUUCAUUUCCAUGGCUUACUCUAGAGGUUUGCCAUUUGGAUCCCGGAGUUUGAAUUACCAUAGAGGUUGGCAUAUCACCGAAUGCGACGUUAUGCAAGCGAGCAUAGUUUUCAGAUAUAAAAGAAUGAGAGGCUCCUGUAUCGAAAAGAACAGAUGCCGGGUGGCAAUUAACAAGAAGCAUACCGAGAACGACGUUGGGAUCCUCUUGAGCUUCUUCGGCAGAGAUACAGUUGACAUGGCCACGUGAAGCGGUGACCGGCUUGGCGUGGAAUAUUUUUUCUGUCGGCUUGCCACGGCCAACAGCCUUAGCAGAUUGAUUGGGGUUGGUCUGGGGACACUCACGCAUAUAGUGACCAGAUUCCCCACACUUGAAACAAGUCACGGAACUGGUACGUGGAGGAGCAUUGUUAGUUGGACCCCCAUAGGGCUUGGCCGGUGCAGACUGUUGAACAGGGCGAGGCGCCUGGAAAGAUGGCCUCGGUGUGAACCUGGGUGGAUGUAAUUUGAUAAAAUCACUGAGUGACACCACGUUAGCCCUCUGAUUGUGUGUUGUAUUCUGUUCAAUACGCUCCAACAAACGGUUGGUCUCCCGCUUGUUUCUCUCAGCUUCCAUCAUAACCUCGGCUAGUGAAGGAGGAUGAGGCAGAUUUUCAUUCCUGCCUUCACUGCCUUCGGCCUGCUCUUGAGAAGCAGGGUUAGCGCGCGUGUUGACCAUCCUAGGUAAACAAGACAAUGAUUUAGUCAGGAUGACAAGAUUCCGACAUAGGAUAAAAAUGUAAGGAAUAACUCAAAAUGCAAGAUGAUCAUCCGUAUGACAUGGUAGACACAGAAGCUGCUUCUUUAUUCCAUCGUCAUACACACCAUACAGGGUUUAGUACAAGACCAAACAAAGUACUAUUACGGUGAAAAGAGGAUUACAUCUCAUCGGAGGCAUUCCAAGCUCCUAUACAUUAUUUUUCUACACCUCCGGAAAGAGUACAAACUAGGUCAUAUCCCACGAGUCACUCGGGACGAUAGACGACACAGCUAGUGCGAACUAGUGAUACUAUCGCUAACUCAGACCGAUCCGUAGUAGUCCUCGUAGAAGUCACCUCCAUAGCCUGGAAGCUCAACAUGAUCAUCCGGAAACAGACGAUCUCGCGGAGCUUGUGGACCAUAGGGGCUAGGAUGAGGUCUUGGACCAACAGACGGUGGCCUGCGGGGACCGCGAGGUGGGGUGAUGCCUCCUACAUCACGCCAAACCAUCACGUCCGGCAGAGCAGAUCUCACAGGAUAGAGAUCGCGCAUAUCCGAAUAUCCAGCUUGCACCGCCGGUGCGAACCGAGUCAAAGUGGCCUAGUGGUCAGCACGGGUAUUGAAGAGCUCUAACCUUAAGGCCCGAUUUUCACGGUCCUUAUCCUCGAGCAUCUCAGCAGUGGUGCGAGUCCGUGAAUCCUCCUGAGUGGGGUCAGCAUAGAUAGCUUGAAGAUACCCUUGUGCUCCCGGAAGUGAUCCUGGCAUAUACCGGAAAUCAGAGUCCCGAAAUAAACCAGAUCUGACUCGCAUAAUGGUCAUCAUAGAGUAGGCGGCGUCCUACACAGCCAUCUCAAUAGUAACCCCGAGUCCAUAGGAGCAGUGAAGAGGCUCGGUGGAUCCAGGAUAAGAUGAAAAUAUCCUGACAGUGCAGAGAUACUGGCUUUGAUUAAAGUCUCGGAAUUGCUCUUCGACCGUGUACUCAGGAUACCAGCGGUAUCCAGCCUCAGUCAUUACCCUGACCAACUUGGCAGUAUGGCCGGGUACGUCUAGGCAUCGAGUCAGGCGAACCACUUGAUUGAGGUCGCGAGUGGCCAUCUGAAAGCAUAAUCAUAAUGCAAAGGCAUUAGAAUUUCUAGCAAAAUUUCGGCAGCAUAACAGCUGUAAAUGCUCAAGAAGGAUAUGAGACAUUUGACAAAGGAUUUCGUACACACUCAACAUCAUCAUAUCAAAGUUCUGAAUCCAUUCUAACAACAUAAUGUGGUAGUAGAACUGAACUAGGCUUGUAUCCAUCAAACUUAUAAGGUACUACUGAUUAGUAACACGUGAUCCUGAUAGAGAGAACAGAUCCUAAUUCCUUAACCCCCGGUAGAAGAGUGGACUGACUCAGAUCAGAAUGUCAUAAGAUAGAGAAGUAAAAGAGCCUUACGUUCCAACCCACAAACAAUUCCCCUACAUAUAACUAAAGAAUUUCUAGACUCAACAUCGACCAGUUUGGCUUGGAGAACCUACAGGCAGUCCGGCUCUGAUGCCAACGCUGUCAGGACCCCGACUCGAUGUCACAUCGAUCUAGCCGGUAACACUUCAUAUCACUUUGCGGCCUCACGCACGGUAAUCCCACGGGUGUCGCCUUACCUUUGCCCGGGACCGUUUGCGCCUUUUGGCUCACGUAUAUGAUAGUGUCGCUAGCAUCCAUAUGAUAAAGAGCCCGGGCUGACAUGACUAGUCGUAAACCCAAAGUGGCACAGACUUACAGGGACAGGCAUCCAUGACCCAGCUUCGAACGUGUCGGUCAUCAGCAAGUGGGUCCGGGCUGUAGCACUGGGCUAGCAGGACUCCGGUAAACCGGGCUGUAGCGGGCUAACAGGACUCCGGUACUCAAAGCGUGACAUUUCCCCGAAGGGACAGACACAGGAACGAAGAAGGACACAUGCCGGCCAGCCUAAGUGUUCCAGAGCAGUAGCAAGCUACCAUGGCUCAGCGGUAACACUAGGAGACAUUUCCCGGUAAGAGAGGCUACUAAAGAUAAACAACUAGAUAGUCAGAUCCCACACAUACCAAGCAGGACCCCGACUCGAUGUCACAUCGAUCUAGCCGGUAACACUUCAUAUCACUUUGCGGCCUCACGCACGGUGUUCCCACGGGUGUCGCCUUACCUUUGCCCGGGACCGUUUGCGCCUUUUGGCUCACGUAUAUGAUAGUGUCGCUAGCAUCCAUAUGAUAAAGAGCCCGGGCUGACAUGACUAGUCGUAAACCCAAAGUGGCACAGACUUACAGGGACAGGCAUCCAUGACCCAGCUUCGAACGUGUCGGUCAUCAGCAAGUGGGUCCGGGCUGUAGCACUGGGCUAGCAGGACUCCGGUAAACCGGGCUGUAGCGGGCUAACAGGACUCCGGUACUCAAAGCGUGACAGUUCCCCGAAGGGACAGACACAGGAACGAAGAAGGACACAUGCCGGCCAGCCUAAGUGUUCCAGAGCAGUAGCAAGCUACCAUGGCUCAGCGGUAACACUAGGAGACAUUUCCCGGUAAGAGAGGCUACUAAAGAUAAACAACUAGAUAGUCAGAUCCCACACAUACCAAGCAUUUCAAUCAUACACACAAUAUGCUCGAUAUGUGCAAAUACAACGAAGCAUCACAACAUGACUCUACGACACAAGUACUUUAUUUAAGGCUCAGGGAGCCAUACAUAACAUACACCAAGGUACGGGUCUCACGACCCAACAUACAAGUCAUACAGUCAUACAAACCAGCAGCGGAAGUAACUUGUCUGAGUACAGACAACUAGUAAAAUAAAAGAGGCUUGGAAAGCCUAGCUAUACUACGUGGUCCUUCACAAGCUCAGGGUCACCACCUGGGCCUUUAGCCUACUCGUUGAUGUCAACGUCUACAUAGAACCCAUCAGAAGGGGUUGCAGCGUCUUCUGUAAAAUGUAGAUUAUAGCAACAUGAGUAGAAAGGUACUCAGCAAGACUUACAUCAGAUCCUACAUACAUGCAUGUUAUCAAGAAGGGUUGGUGGAGUUAUUGCAGCAAGCCAGCUUUGACUCUUGGCUAGGCUAUCCUACGAUACUCCAACUUGAAAUGGUUUUGCGCACACGAGUCCACUACUCACCAAUUCAAUACACUUCCGAGGAUCCACCUCCGUCUUCCUACGGAAGAGCCAUCCUCGGCACUCACACUUAUCUUGAGGCUUUUAGCAGUUUCCAUUUACUUGUCUAUGAACUGUAUAGGCAACCAAGUAGUCCUUUACCGCGGACGCGGCUAUUCGAAUAGAUUAUGAUAACCCUGCAGGGGUGUACUUCUUCAUACAUGUUUCCACCACUUAGCGUCUGCACACGACAUGUGCUCGGCAGACUUCAAGCGAAAGCCGACGUGGGUGUAGACCACGACCUACCUAAACACUUAAGCCUCUAGUCCAGGUUUAUCGCCUAUUCAGGUUCCAUCCGCAGGGAGUCCGGCCGAGGUUUCCCAUACGGCCCCGAACGAUGUGAACAGGGUUCCCAGGAUACCUAACGGUUAUUCGGUACACCGUGCCACGUACCUACCACAUCACAGCCCACCCCUACGGUCAGCGCUGUCCACGGCCUCCAGUAGGCUACAAACACCAGAAACUACUUGCAACUCCUGGACAGAGAGCUAGGGUGAAUAAGAAGUCGAGCGGGGUCAUAUUUCAGGGCCCAAUGCAUGGUAGUAGCUGUAUCUUAAAUCACACAUACAGAUCUCAGUGCUUAAGAUCGGCUUCAAUGAAACAACCCACCAUGUACUCCUACAUGGCCUCUCAUCGAUACCUUUACCAAAUCGUGUUCACCACACCACUCUCAUUUCCGACAUAAUCAUUUCACUCUAGCCAUCACCCAGAUGAACCAGACCUGACACAACUCUAAGCAUAGCAGGCAUAGCAAGGUAGGAACAACACAUACAUAUGGCUCAAUCAACUCCUACACAUGCUAGUGGGUUUCAUCUAGUUACUGUGGCAAUGACAGGUCAUGCAGAGGAAAUGGGUUCAACUACCGUAGCACACAGCAGUUUGAAANNNNNNNNNNNNNNNNNNNNNNNNNNNNNNNNNNNNNNNNNNNNNNNNNNNNNNNNNNNNNNNNNNNNNNNNNNNNNNNNNNNNNNNNNNNNNNNNNNNNNNNNNNNNNNNNNNNNNNNNNNNNNNNNNNNNNNNNNNNNNNNNNNNNNNNNNNNNNNNNNNNNNNNNNNNNNNNNNNNNNNNNNNNNNNNNNNNNNNNNNNNNNNNNNNNNNNNNNNNNNNNNNNNNNNNNNNNNNNNNNNNNNNNNNNNNNNNNNNNNNNNNNNNNNNNNNNNNNNNNNNNNNNNNNNNNNNNNNNNNNNNNNNNNNNNNNNNNNNNNNNNNNNNNNNNNNNNNNNNNNNNNNNNNNNNNNNNNNNNNNNNNNNNNNNNNNNNNNNNNNNNNNNNNNNNNNNNNNNNNNNNNNNNNNNNNNNNNNNNNNNNNNNNNNNNNNNNNNNNNNNNNNNNNNNNNNNNNNNNNNNNNNNNNNNNNNNNNNNNNNNNNNNNNNNNNNNNNNNNNNNNNNNNNNNNNNNNNNNNNNNNNNNNNNNNNNNNNNNNNNNNNNNNNNNNNNNNNNNNNNNNNNNNNNNNNNNNNNNNNNNNNNNNNNNNNNNNNNNNNNNNNNNNNNNNNNNNNNNNNNNNNNNNNNNNNNNNNNNNNNNNNNNNNNNNNNNNNNNNNNNNNNNNNNNNNNNNNNNNNNNNNNNNNNNNNNNNNNNNNNNNNNNNNNNNNNNNNNNNNNNNNNNNNNNNNNNNNNNNNNNNNNNNNNNNNNNNNNNNNNNNNNNNNNNNNNNNNNNNNNNNNNNNNNNNNNNNNNNNNNNNNNNNNNGGGGGGUCAAACCCCAGGUCGGACAAGUCAAACCCCACCGGCGACAUGACGCCGGCGAGGUCCGAGACGGCGGCGUGAUGCGGGAUCGCGCUACAGGGCACGGGCGAGGCUGUGCUUGGGCUCGUUGGAGAGCCCUUGCUCCCGCGCGUCGAACGGUGGUGGUGGCCGAGCCUGGGGUGGCCGGUACCGUCGACGGCGAGCUCGUGAGCGGCGGCCGGAGUUCGGGUGCGGUCGGAGUCGGCGUUGCAGGGUGUUUGGGGAGGCGUUGGUGCGUGCUGCGUGCUCCUAGUGAGGCGUGGAGCACGAUAGUGUGCUCGGUUGGGCGCUACGGUGACCGUGGCCACGACGGCGACAUCGCCGGCGGCGUGGAGCUCUCGGCCAAGGUGGGGCUAAGGCCUAGAGGUCGAAAGAGACCAGGGGAGAAGGGGGAAACGACUCGGGGGCUCACCGCGGUUGCAGUGGGCGUUGAAGCGGGCUCGGAGAUGCGCUGGAGACGGCGAAUUCGACGGCGAUGAUGGUCGGAGCCCGAAGGGGGGAACGGCGACGUGGCGGCGAUGCAGGGCUUCCGGAGGCCCGUGGAGCGGUGGGGAGGAAGAGGGGGUUGUGGCGGAGCUUCUGAGCUAGUCGGGGGAGCGAGGGGUGGCCGGAGACGGCUGCUAUGGCGAACGGCGGCGACGGUGAUGUUCGGCCGUGUGGGAGAGAGAGCGAGGGAGAGGAGGGAAGAGCCGAGGGCGAGUGAGAGAGAGCAGGGGGGGAGGCGUGGCGUCGUCCGGGGCAUCGAGCGAGGAGGGGAGGGCAGGCAAGCAGGGAGAGAGGUGGCGUGGCGCGGUGGCGCGCGCGCGCGCCGGCCACACUCCCCUCCCUCUGUCGAGGACGAAGACGACAGAGGAGGGAGGUGGGCUGGGCCGGCUGCUGGCUGGGCCGGCCAGCUGGCUGGGCUGCACAGGGAGGAGCCCAGGUAAGCUUCUCCCUUUUAUUUUUUUUCUGUUUUCUAAUUUCUGACAUUUGUUUUGAUUUAAAUAAUAUAUUAAAUCAUUUAUUUAACUUAUGCCAAUUUUUGCAGGGGCUAGAUAUAUUAUUUCAGAGCUCCUUUAUAAAUGGCAUAAUAUUUGGACAUAUAUUAAUAUAUAUAAUUAAUAUAUUUCCAAAGUAAAAAUUUAUGCAUUAAUUCCAAAUGCCCAAAAUAAAUACCUAUGAGCUCUUAAAAGUAUUGGUUUGAUUAUUAUCUCUGUCCAAUAUUUUCAGAGAGCAACAUGAGCAUUUUCUUGGACCCUUUUGGAGAAAUUUUUAUUUGGGUCAUUUUCAAAAUGAUUCUGAGGGUUUCACAAAUCCCCAUUUCAAUUUAAAUGGAAUUUUAAACAUGAUGCACACACUCUGAUGCAUGACUAGCUAGGGUGUGACAGCUGGUUCCAGUGGCAAGCAGCCGCGGGCAUCAUCAGGCCCCGACCUUCCCGAGGCUCUCUUGGCAGAUUUCGACGACGUCUUUGCUGCCCCAUCGGCCUGCCCCCGCCACGAUCACAUGACCACCACAUUCAUCUCCUUCCAGGAACUCCACCGAUUGCAGUGCAGCCAUAUCGCUACCCACUGACAUAGAAGGACAAGUUGGAGUCCCAAUGUAGUACCAUGGAAGCCCAGGGCAUCAUUUGACGUAGGACAUCGCCCUUUUCGGCUCCAGUUCUACUUGUCAAAAAGGCUGAUGGUUCAUGGCGCCUUUGUGUUGACUAUAGGGCGCUGAAUGACCGCACCAUCAAAGAUAAGUUCCCUAUUCCUAUAGUCGAGGAGCUGCUGGAUGAGCUGCAUGGUGCACGCUUCUUCUCCAAGUUGGACCUUUGCUCGGGGUAUCACCAAGUCCGCAUGCAUCCGGCCGAUGUUGAAAAGACAUGCCACCAUCGUCAGCCUCAUGGGAGGACUUGCACUAGUUUCAGGAGAGCUACCCUUCUUUUCAGCUCGCGGACGAGCUGUUGCUCCAGGGGGGGAGGGGGAGAUGUUAUGUGGGGCCGUCACUAUGAAAAGAGAAAGAAGGACUCGGCAACAACAGAGUCCAGAUAGAUUACAGCAAAGUUUGUUAGGAAACCUAAGUUUGUUAGGAGAGUCGGUUUGGUCUAGAAUAUGAGAUAUUGAGUUUGUUAGGGCUGGACUAUUCUGUUGCCCAUAACAGAAUAUUAUUCUGUUACCCCUGGCCACUAUAUACAGCGCCCUCCAUCAGAAACGAGAAAACCAACCCAAAAAGAAAAACUCUUAUCCACUCCCACCCUGCAGCCUCCCGAUUCUUCUCCACCUUCCACCGUCGGGCGUCGUCCCCCGCAACUCCGGCGGCCUCCUUCCCCUGCUCAGGCUGCCUCCCUCCCCAGCUCCGGCCGCCUCCCUUCCCAGUGUCGGCCUCCUCCCUCCCCAGCGCCGGCCUCCUCCCCAGCGUGUCGCCGGCCGACCUCCCUCCCAGCGUGCCGCCAGCCGGCCUCUUCCCAGCGCGCCUCCGGCCGACCUUGCCUCAAGCGCGCCGCCACGACGGCCCUCGCCGCCACCACCACCUCCCACCGCAACCACCACCACCACCUCCCACCGCAACCACCACCACCUUCUCAUCCUCGUGAGCCCACGCCCGUCACUCCCCACGAACCCCGCCGCCUCCAUCCCUCCUACACCGGCGCCGCCCUUACCUCGCGACGACAGCCGCCCUCCCUCGCGCCGGCAGCCGCCCUCCCUCGCGCGCCGGCCUCCUCCACCUUCACGCUCAGGACGCCUUCCUUCCUGCGCUCCGGUCGCCUUCCUCCUCGCGCGCCGGCCUCCUCCCUACCCCGCGCUCUGUCUGCCUUUCUUCCCGUGCUCCGACCGUCUUCCUCCCCGCGCUCUGGCCGCCUUCCUCCCCGCGCUCCGGCCUCCUUCCUCCCUGCAAUCAGUUCGCCUCCCUCCCCACGCUCCGUCCACCUUCCUCCCCGAGAUCCAUCCGCCUUCUCCCCUGAGAUCCCACGGCCGUACCGCCACCGGCCAACCCCUCCAUCUGUAAGUAAGGGCACUGGGCCGCCCUCCACGCCGGGGUGGCCCUGCUAGCCAUCAGCGGGGGAAGCGAAGUGGCUGCCAUGGCGGGGGUGGAGACGAGUUCGUCCUGGGCGUGCGCAUCCUCGGGAAGUCCAUCUGCAAUAUGGGCACCUCGCAGUGACCUCAUAGUGCUCGUCCUAGACUACUCUCCGAAGCCAUCGAGGUAUGCGUGCACAUCUGCACAUCUGCACAUCUGCACAUCGAGGUAUUGCUAGGAGAUGGGUGCAAGAAAGAACCAAUUUAUUUUGCAUUCAAUCGCCAUUGGAGUUGGUCUUGUGCACCACAAAAUUAACUUUCUGAAGCUACCUCUAUGGUUAAUAAAAGCACAUGAGCAUCCUUCUACGUAGUAAGUUCAUAGUCAAGAAGACAGGGAGUUCAGAAAAGAACGUGAACACUGAAAGACCAUAAAAAACCAAAAACCUACAUUAGGGGAGUUCUUCAAGAAGUUCGUGGCUAGCCGGCCGUGUUGUGUGUUCUUGUCAGUUCAUUGUAAGAAGACAAGUAAUUAGUUUAUAUAUCUAGCCUGGCGUGUUGUGUAUUCUGGUCAGUUCGUGUUUGUGUAUGUGUUUCCCUUGUGGCGUAUGAGAGGAAGCCGCUGAUCUGGUCCAGGCAUGCUCCUAUUCUCUCUUUUCGGUAGCACAAACAUUUAAAAGUUUGAUCGCUAGACCCCGGUAAGUUCUGCUUGACAAAACCUCCUCUCUCAUAUUUGUUCCUAUUUUGUAGGUUGCAGCAAAAAAAAGAUGCACAAGUUCAUAUUUUGUAUGCUUUUCGGUUCAUCUACUUCCCUGUGAUGAGUCCGAUUUCCUUUGUGUUUCAUCUUCUUCAUAUAGCACAAACAAGUGCUUGUGGUUAUGCUUGUAGUUAUGCGUAGUCCAUGGGUUCUAGUAUUUGAUUACAGUCAGGCCACGAGUUAGUAUUGUGGUACUCCGUUGCAAGAAAAAAGGGUUGUCGGUUCAGUUAUAGGCACCCAACUCUGAAGAUUUUGAAUUUUUAGCAUGGUAUUUUAAGUUUGUUUUUUAUCAUAUAAUGUAAAAUUGUAAACAUGUUUCCAACGGUCUUUGCUCCCAGUUCUGAACUUUUUAUUCAGUCUGCUAGUACAGUCGUCGUGGUCGCCACCCCGACGCCUAGCCUGCCAACCCGCGUCGCGUUGCCCCGGGACCCCCGAGCACUGCCGCGCCCCGUCGCCGGUGCCUCACGGUGAGGGCCAGCGUCUUUGCCCGACAAAGCAGGCUACCAUCCCUCCAUUGACAAUGCGCAUGUCCAGCCGUUGCUGCAUCUCUUUCUGCCCGUGGAUGCUCGUGUGCUAUAAUUGCUUUCUCCCCUUCCUGUACAUGCUGCUACUCACCUUUUUAUCUCUCUGAUGCGUUGUGUUGCACUACUGCAGCUCGAUCUAGGAGGUGCUGGCUCAUGCUGGCUGGAACUAGGAUGCAACAGGGUUGAUGGAUCCAUGCCGCACAAGCACCUGUGCUCUGCUUUCUUCUUACUUUGUGUUCUAAUUUGCUUUCUUCUUAUUUUAAGUUUGCGAGAUGCAAAAAGAAGUUAAAAAAAUGUUGUGCCUGGAGUGAAUAUUAUUUGCUACCCCAUGAUGUACGUCUAUAGUUUCUCCCUCCAAAUGUGUUGGUCCAUGUGGUUGUAUUUUCUGUUUUUUUGUUUUGGAUCUACGAAAAAGGUUAUUGAAGCUCAAAUGUGAUAAGCACAUAAGUUCAGAUCUCUAAUGCUACAAAGUUCACGUAUACCUCUCUGUUUUAAUCAUGGCCUACAAAUUUUGCACUACGAGAAAGUUCAGAGGCAAGAACGUAGAAAAUAAAGAACACAAAAAUAUCAACAAAAAAUUCACUAGGAGAAAAGUUUAAGUCAGGAUAUGCAAGAAAAGCUCUUAUUUUAUUUCAGUUCAAUUUCAAAUUCUAGUUAAGUUUCAUUUCUUAUUUUAAUUUAGUCUAGUUUCUUAUUUUAGUUUAGUUCAAUAUCUAAUUUUUGUUCAGUUCAAUUCUUAUUUUAGAAAGAAAUUGAAUUGUUUCUUUGUCUACAUUCUUCUAUUCAACAUCAGGGAGAAGGUGCCUCAUGGUAAAAGCGUGCCAAGAUUUUCUAGGUACCCAGACCCAUCCCAUCCUCUAUACAGAUUUUAGAGUUUAACACAUCAAUGGAAGUUUGUUCUCAAAACUGAAAUUGUUCUGCAUGUACUGAAACUAGUUGUUAAUUGUUGGAGUGUUUCGUUCUUGCAGAAUAAAAAUAAGAUGUAUGCAUUGCUUCUUGGCCCAGCUUGAGAGAACCCUCAUGUUAAAAAGUAUAAAGCAGUUUUGAAGCAACUCCUAGUGUCUUUAGAAGCAUUCAUGGUUAAAAAGCAACGACAACCUCAUCCAUUCAAGUUGAGCACUGGUCAUCGUCCAAGUUGAGCACUAGGUGCCGGCCAAGUUAAAAAAGAGUAGUAUGCAAGUAUAGAAGUUUGUUUUAGUGAGAAAAAUGCAUACUGUCUUCUAUAACUCGUUUCACUUCACGAUUUCUUCACUAGUUUGUUGUUUCCUAAUUAUCCUAAUUCCUAAUUGUUCUACUCAACUUUAGCGCCAUGCUCAGUACAACACCGUGGCUUCAGGGUGGCCGAGUUCGUCGCGACCAUCAGUUAAGAGACCUGCAUCACUGCGCGUGUCGCUACCAUGGCCCCCUUGUGUCACUGCGUGCUUCGUCAACAAGCCUCCUGCACAUGGAAAAGCAACAGGAGUCUGAGAUGCUCUGUUCUAGUGAGGUGGCUGAUUAUGUUAGUUUGUAAUACUUUGGCCGCGGUGUACUUAUGUAUCUUUUUCUGGCCGGAGCACGACCAGAGCUUAUGUCAGUACGAACUUUGAUUGUGAUGGUAAUACAAACUCUAUAGGGUACUUACCUUUUAUACAAUUCACAUGGAUUGUGCCCCUAUUACCAUGUGGUACAAAAAUGCACUAUGCUCACCAUUUUAUUUUAGUUCAUCAGUUUGUAAUACUUUAAAAAGAGGAGGUAAAAGUGAACCAUUCGGUUUUGUAUUAUAAAAAGUGUUAAUGUGAGAAACUUCAAAAAUAUCUUGUUUAAUAAGUUCUGCUUGUCCCGUGUAUAGUAUUUAUUGAGCUAAAAAUGGUAUGGUUCAUACAUUCUCGUCGAUCUCGUUGUAAUCGUCCUUGUUUUUGUGAGUUUCCUGAUGCAAGUUUUGUGGUCAGUCCAGAUGGGAGAGGGUGAUCCAUUCAAAAUGUAAUUAUGUGACAUUGACAUUCAAG